Hippocampus zosterae (dwarf seahorse) is the source of this 1428-nucleotide long non-coding RNA. RefSeq lists it as uncharacterized. The transcript is spliced from 2 exons. Lineage: Eukaryota; Metazoa; Chordata; Actinopteri; Syngnathiformes; Syngnathidae. The record is from RefSeq and is a predicted model, not a curated record.
UGGGGGGAUAAAUGGGCGUAACAGAGUAGUGCUGUCCAUGACAUGAUAAUCCUCACCAAGUUUGAUCCUCCUUAUUUUAAAAUCAUUGGCAAACAUCUCCAGCUCUUGGAUCUGUGGAGAGUCCAUAGCGGGGGUGUCCUCCAGCUCCCGGAUGCUCUUCUUCUGGAUGGUAACUUUCAUCUCGCCCACAGCAGGGCCCCCGGGGACCUCAUCAGUUAGCAGGAGGGCCGAGGGCAGCGAGGAGAAACCGUGACUUAACGCGCAGGAGCUGCCGCUUAGACCGGGAUCUGGAAACUUGUACAGGCACGGUGUCAGCGAACCUGGACAGAGAGGCACAAGAGAAAGGCAAAGUCGGGAAAUUUCGAUUCGGCGACAGAACGUAAUAUAGUCAUUGUGACAUGCUUGAAGCGGGGCAUUCAGUUUGGUCGCGUAAGUCCCAAGUGAAGUCCCAGAUUUCAAAUGCACUGGUGUGAAGGUUUGGACUCAUUGAGAUAUUCGUCACGUGCUGUGAUAUCAGAAAAAUAACUGUAGUCUGAUGACUCGAUUGGAAAUGGCCAUGUGGUCUGUUCGUCAUUGCUUAGCCGGACGUGCUAACCAGUCAGCCAUGGUGCCGCCACACAAGUGAAAAAGUGACGUGAGAAUUGGAAGUCGUCGUUCUGAGAAAUUCACUUCUGAUCUGAGAAAUGGAGCAAACCCGUAAGAUUGUUUUUUGUUUUUAGUCUGUCACAAAAAAGAUUUGAAGCGCGUCAAUUUGUCGAAAAUCAAACGGAACGCCACUGCCACCUACUGGAUGUGCACUUACACUUCAUUCUAACACACAAAGCAUGCCCCCCAAACUCUUUAAGAACUGAUCGACGGUAAUCUAAAACUGACAAAAUAUGGCGUUCCAUCAACCACAGAAUAUAAUAUUCUACAAGCGCACGGUUUGAGUUGACUAGAGUGUGGGCUUUGCCGAGUGUUGUUACUUGCUGGAGGAGAUGUGGAAAUGGGGAGGUUUAGGAGGCUAACAUAAAUAGCUGUUCUAAGUGUCAUCCUCUUCAUUUUUGUUGGCGAACAUUUACCGAAUAAACUUCUCACAUUAGUUUAUGAGUUUAAAAAAAACAGUUUUCAAUGUGAUUAUGUUAUACACAGACCAUAUUAAAAGCCAGUGAAUGGAUGUGCUCAUCAACUCCAUCGUGUUGGUGUUUGAGCGCCUUGUUUCAUCAAGGUCGCAGCAAUAAGUAAUUCCUUUACGCCUCGCUCGUGCGAUGAUGUUUUUCACCGCCAAGUAAAACUUUAAUUUGUUGGAGGCUUAGGAGUCAAAAUUUAUUACCUGAACUUAAAUCCACUUAAUGUGUUUGUGACCUCAUGCUUCUUUUCAAUAUCUGCUGGGUCCUUCACUCGCAACAUCCAUCACAUUAUUAUUGGUCAUGAAGUGUGAAUUAAAAA